UACGGAGGGUGCAAGCGUUAGUCGGAAUUACUGGGCGUAAAGCGCACGCAGGUGGCUGAGCAAGUCGGAUGUGAAAGCCCUGGGCUUAACCUGGGAAUUGCAUUCGAUACUACUCAGCUAGAGUAUGGGAGAGGGUAGUGGAAUUCCCGGUGUAGCGGUGAAAUGCGUAGAUAUCGGGAGGAACAUCAGUGGCGAAGGCGGCUACCUGGACAGUAACUGACGCUCAGGCACGAAAGUAUGGGGAGCAAAAAGG
Molecule: ribosomal RNA, 253 nt
Filed under: uncultured bacterium
Lineage: Bacteria
Description: partial 16S ribosomal RNA
Rfam family: Bacterial small subunit ribosomal RNA
Source: RNAcentral